Molecule: small nucleolar RNA, 103 nt
Organism: Talpa occidentalis (Iberian mole)
Lineage: Eukaryota; Metazoa; Chordata; Mammalia; Eulipotyphla; Talpidae
Product: small nucleolar RNA U13
Exons: 1
Source: RefSeq, a predicted model, not a curated record
AUCCUUUCCCAGUUUAUAAGCAUGAUUUUGGGGGUUCACGCCUUUGUGUUUGAUCGGCCUCCCUUAAGCCUUGUUUGGAUACCCGCACAUUACCCUUCUGAUG